AAGGCCUUCGGGUUGUAAACCGUUUUCAGGAGGGACGAARCCRCUCGAGUUAAUAGCUCARAGGGUGACGGUACCUCCRGAAGAAGCCCCGGCUAACUACGUGSCRGCAGCCGCGGUAAUACGUASGGGGCRAGCGUUGUCCGGAUUUAUUGGGYGUAAAGAGMGUGUAGGCGGCCAGAUAAGUCUGACGUGAARUGUCKAGGCUCRACCUCSAAAGGUCGUUGGAAACUGUCUGGMUWGAGUCCGGAAGAGGAGAGUGGAAUUCCUGGUGUARCGRUGAAAUGCGCAGAUAUCAGGAAGAACACCUAUGGCGAAGGCWGCUCUCUGGGACGGURCUGACGCUGAGACGCGAAAGCGUGGGGAGCGAACAGGAUUAGAUACCCUGGUAGUCCACGCCGUARACGAUGAAUACUAGGUGUCGGGAGUCAAAUCUCGGUGCCGCAGUUAACGCAAUAAGUAUUCCACCUGGGGAGUACRAUCGCAAGAUUGAAACUCAAAGGAAUUGACGGGGGCCCGCACAAGCGGUGGAGCAUGUGGUUUAAUUCRAAGCGACGCGAAKAACCUUACCAAAUCUUGACAUCCUUCUGACCGACUCUUAAUCGAGUCUUUCCUUCKGGACAGAAGUGACAGGUGGUGCAUGGUUGUCGUCAGCUCGUGUCGUGAGAUGUUGGGUUAAGUCCCGCAACGAGCGCAACCCUUAUCUUUAGUAGCCAGCAUUKC
Molecule: ribosomal RNA, 720 nt
Filed under: uncultured bacterium
Lineage: Bacteria
Description: partial 16S ribosomal RNA
Rfam family: Bacterial small subunit ribosomal RNA
Source: RNAcentral